GAUGAAGAACGUAGCGAAAUGCGAUAAGUAAUGUGAAUUGCAGAAUUCAGUGAAUCAUCGAAUCUUUGAACGCACAUUGCGCCCGUCAGUAUUCUGGCGGGCAUGCCUGUUCGAGCGUCAUUACGCCCCUCAAAUCCCCUGUGGACUUGGUGUUGGGGAUCGGCGAGGCUGGUUUUCCAGCACAGCCGUCCCUUAAAUUAAUUGGCGGUCUCGCCGGGGCCCUCCUCUGCGCAGUAGUAAAACACUCGCAACAGGAGCCCGGCGCGGUCCACUGCCGUAAAACCCCCCAACUUUUUAUAGUUGACCUCGAAUCAGGUAGGACUACCCGCUGAACUUAAGCAUAUCAAUAAGCGGAGGA
Molecule: unclassified non-coding RNA, 358 nt
Filed under: soil metagenome
Description: partial contains 5.8S ribosomal RNA, internal transcribed spacer 2, and large subunit ribosomal RNA
Rfam family: 5.8S ribosomal RNA (bases 1-120)
Source: RNAcentral